GGACGGUGCUGGACAGGCCUCCAGAAGCUCCGCCUGUCGUCCUCGCGUGGGAAUUUAGCCGGGGCAGAAAGUGCACCUGUGCGACAGCCACCCGUCCAAGGAGGAGGGCUUCCCCAGUACCCCCAGGCUUCCCCUGUGCGUCUCCCCGUCACUCCGCCCAGGAAGCGCAGUCCUGACGAUACACUACGCGCUGCGGCAGCCAGCUGGGGCAGGUCUGCUUGGAGCCAGGAGAAACCACCAGGAAAUUCCCUGUAUAUUGUAAUGUGUGACAGCAGCGUCUAAUUAAUCAUCAACCCUGUGAUAUGAUCUCCACCCAUAAAAAAGAGACCCAUUGAGGCUUUGGAAACCUGAGCCCUGGCCUCUGUCAGAUUGCUCCCUAUUGACUGAGGACCUGUGCCUGAGGACCCUGGGAUGAUGGGUGCCCACCUCUGCUCCGAGGCUGCUCUGCCCAGCACGGGUCCCACCCCUGCCAGCCUGGCCUGGCUGCCCAGGAAACAGGGAGGGGCCGGAGCAGUAGGCCCGGAAGGACGCAUGUCUGCUGGUCACCAAGGACCACAGGGCAAGCGGGACACACUCCAGGUCCCUGACUCCAGAGGGUCAGUUCCGAUUCCCACAGGGGCCCUCAGGGUGGCACCAGGUUGGGGGCAUUGUUUCAGGGAUCUCCCCUUGAUGAGGGCAGCAGCGAGGAACAGGGCUCUGGCAUACCCGAGGGACAGGACGGGUGACACGGGGAAGGGCUCUGCGAGGGCCAGUGCAGAGGUCCCUGCACCUGCCACUCGGGCCUUGUAAGCUCAUUUCCAGUAGCUUACCUGUGGCUGGUGGGGUCAGGGAUGCAUCCCCCGUGCCUGAUCCGAUGCAGCUCCUCCAGACCUCAGGACUGAGUGAGGGGACGGAUGCCCAGCAGGCACUUCCCUUCAUGCUGCUAAGCAGAUGCCUACGGGAAGUCUCUCUGGACCUUGGCUGGACUCUGCUCUGGCUCCCAGCGCACUGAUCUCAGACCUUUCUCCAGCCCCAGCCCUGCACCACUGUGGGGAGCUGCUGAGACCCUUUCUGCUCCAGGACCAGGAGUGCUCCCUGGGGAAGGGGGCGGGCUUCACAGGCGCCGCAGACUCCCCAAGGGAAAUGAGGCCAGAGAGGCAGGGGAACAGGGCCACCUCAGCCAGCUUCUAGGCCAGGCCGGGCGAGAACAGUAAGCAUCGAAGAUGCCCGGAUGCAGCGCACCUUUCUGUCACAGCCAGUAAUUUCCACCCUAGGCCUGGGUUUAAGACAGGGCCUCAACGCGCAGGCACUGCUGUCCCUUGGUUUAAGGCCCGGGGGUCACGGUGAGAGUCAGACCCAGGACAGGUGAAGCGGGCUCCCCACCCGCUCCACACACAUCUCUGGGGGAUCCUGGGGCAGGGGGAGGUGGCCCGGUGGAUCGGGUCCCCAGGGGUCAGGAUGGCCCGCGGCGCCAGGGCCAGGCUGUGCGAGGUUUCCCUAAGGAGACCAAGUCCGGACCGACCCAGGCUCACGUGCCCCUCGUCCCCACCCUGUCCCG
RNAcentral lists this long non-coding RNA (1537 nucleotides) under Fukomys damarensis (Damara mole-rat). RNAcentral describes it as "lncRNA (ENSFDAG00000031957.1)". Lineage: Eukaryota; Metazoa; Chordata; Mammalia; Rodentia; Bathyergidae. The record is from RNAcentral.